UACGGGGGAGGCAAGCGUUAUCCGGAAUCAUUGGGCGUAAAGCGUCCGUAGGCGGUUAACCAAGUCUUUUGUCAAAGCGCGGGGCUUAACUUCGUAACAGCAGAGGAAACUGGUGAACUGGGGUGCGGUAGGGGUAGAGGGAAUUCCCAGUGUAGCGGUGAAAUGCGUAGACAUUGGUAAGAAAACCGGUGGCGAAAACGCACUACUGGGCCUGCACUGUCACUGAGGGACGAGAGCUAAGGGAGCGAAAGGG
RNAcentral lists this ribosomal RNA (253 nucleotides) under uncultured bacterium. RNAcentral describes it as "partial 16S ribosomal RNA". It matches the Rfam family "Bacterial small subunit ribosomal RNA", at positions 524 to 776 of the family's 1533-position model. The record is from RNAcentral.